UUCACAUUUCCUCUAAUUCUACUGGAAAGUCACCAGUGUGCACACAUGACAGUUACAUGAGUAUCUUGAACUGGAUAUGGUUUGAAUCCAAAAGAAGGCUAAAGUUCUUCAGUGAUCCGACAGCAGCUGAUCCCCGGGCCUGCCUUAUCAUCCAUCUGGCGGUCAGAGGAGGGCUUGAUGUGGAUCUUUGGCAGGGAGACUGAGUGAGGACUGGAGCUGGUACCGUUCCAUUCUGGCUGCUCGAGCUCAGCGCCCUGCUGCCGCCAUGGCUGCUGACAGGAGUUGCCACAGGAGGAAUGGCCAUGUUAAACGAGGCAACAGAAAUGACCCCUAAUGCAAAGUCACCUCCUGAAAAAGCCAACGCUGCACAUACCAUUCAGGAGGUGAUGGAUGUGGAGGGAGUACAUCUAGAAGAAGGAACAGCGGAGACAUCCCAGGGUGAGGACUCUGAGCUGAGCUUGAGUUUUCAGGGCUAUGUCGCCGAGCUGCGGCAGUGCCAGAGCAAAAUGAGAAACGCCCAGAUGCCCCAGAACGGCCGCAACCCACCGGAGGGCCAGGACUGCAACACAGAUCUUUACAAGGCCACCAUCGUCUAAAGGGACCCCCCCUCCGCAACACCCCCACUGCUGCACUUUUAAAGCCUGAGCGACUGUUGUUUGAGGAGAUGUAGUCGAACAAUGUGCUGCAUGUACAAGUUGUCAGUUUUCUUUACUAAAGCAUCAAUGUUACGGUGAUGGAUAUUGUAUAUUUGUUUAAAAAAAGUUCAGGCAUCUUCUUGUUGACUUCUAGUACCGGUUGUAAUUUUGGGACAGUGAUAUGUUUUGUUAUUGGUAUGCUUUGAUAAUUAAAUACAUUGAGCCCAAAUAAUAAUACCACAGAAGAAGCCUGAAACUCACUUUGGGGUACCAGUUGCUAAUAGUUGUACACAAUUUAUGUGAAAUGACUGAGAAAUAGGACACUGCUUGAUAAGAAGCUGCUUAACAACUUCCUAACAAAAAAACACUGGCAGCCUUCUGGUGUUGGAAACCAAAAAGUGAAAGCUCAGGAAAACACUUGUUCAGGUUCUUGAUAACAAUUUCGAAACCAUCACCAAAUGAUUUAAUGAGCUGUUAAGCUGUUUGGGUAUAUUGAGUUUUACAUUAAAGUCCCGAUUAACUGUCUACCCAUUACCUUUUUCUGCUAGUCUUGCGCUAAGAAAAGUUGUGAGAUGCAACUGAAAUAGCAAUGAUAAUUUAAAAAUCUAGAAAGUAAAGCUUGACUUUUGUUUUACGUGUCCUGAUUAGAAAGUAGGACCACAUGCUAGGAGAGGACUCUUGGAUAUUUGACUAUUUCUUGUUCAUAUUGUCUUCCUGUGUUGUACAGAUGACACAUAACAGUACCUCUAUUGUCUGUACUUUCUGCUUCUGUGGUUGUGAGGUUGUCCAAAUUGUUGAACAAUUAAAAGGCUUCGAUGGCUCUACUUUCAACCAACUGUGUCUUCGCUUUUUUGCUUUCAUC
Molecule: long non-coding RNA, 1497 nt
Organism: Oreochromis aureus
Lineage: Eukaryota; Metazoa; Chordata; Actinopteri; Cichliformes; Cichlidae
Source: Ensembl